RNAcentral lists this transfer RNA (83 nucleotides) under Lachnellula subtilissima. It matches the Rfam family "tRNA". Rfam says of the family: Transfer RNA (tRNA) molecules are approximately 80 nucleotides in length. The record is from Rfam by way of RNAcentral. Lineage: Eukaryota; Fungi; Ascomycota; Leotiomycetes; Helotiales; Lachnaceae.
GCUUCCGUGGUCCAAUGGUUAGGAUUCCACCCUUCCAUUCAAGUUGUAAGGUGGAGGUUCGUGUUCGAUUCACGGCGGUUGCA